UACGGGGGGUGCUAGCGUUAUUCGGAUUUAUUGGGCGUAAAGAGCGUGUAGGCGGUUGGGCUAGUCAGAUGUGAAAUCCUUCUGCUCAACGGAAGAAGUACGUCUGAAACUGCCCGACUUGAGUACGAGAGAGGAAAGUGGAAUUCCCAGUGUAGAGGUGAAAUUCGUAGAUAUUGGGAGGAACACCCGUGGCGAAGGCGACUUUCUGGAUCGAUACUGACGCUGAGACGCGAAAGCGUGGGGAGCAAACAGGAUUAGAUACCCCGGUA
Molecule: ribosomal RNA, 269 nt
Filed under: uncultured prokaryote
Description: partial 16S ribosomal RNA
Rfam family: Bacterial small subunit ribosomal RNA
Source: RNAcentral